Haliotis rubra (blacklip abalone) is the source of this 337-nucleotide long non-coding RNA. RefSeq lists it as uncharacterized. The record is from RefSeq and is a predicted model, not a curated record. NCBI's taxonomy places the organism in Eukaryota, Metazoa, Mollusca, Gastropoda, Lepetellida, Haliotidae. The transcript has 3 exons.
CGAUAGUGGGCGUCUUCUUCCUGGGAGCUCUAGUACCAUGGACAAAUAAAAUCGGUGCGAUAGCAGGAUUGAUCGUGUCUCUCCUACUGAGCACGUGGAUGAGCAUCGGGGCAGCGUUGUAUGGACGGAGACCUGUACCCCUUCCCCCAGCUCCCGGCAACUCCUGUGACGUUUUCUCUCUGGCCACCGUCAACGGCGGAAACAUCUCCACAAGGUUGCCAUCAAUGCUAAAUAUAACACCGGCAUCGUUCAGUAACGUCACAGAGAACGAGGGACUCUUCUUUUACAACAUCUCUUACCAACACUACGGUCUUACAGCCUGGCUUUUUGCAUUAAU